AGCGAACGCUGGCGGCAGGCUUAACACAUGCAAGUCGAGCGGACCUUUCGGGGUCAGCGGCGGACGGGUGAGUAACGCGUGGGAACGUGCCUUCCGGUUCGGAAUAACCCUGGGAAACUAGGGCUAAUACCGGAUACGCCCUUAUGGGGAAAGGUUUACUGCCGGAAGAUCGGCCCGCGUCUGAUUAGCUAGUUGGUGGGGUAACGGCCUACCAAGGCGACGAUCAGUAGCUGGUCUGAGAGGAUGAUCAGCCACACUGGGACUGGGACACGGCCCAGACUCCUACGGGAGGCAGCAGUGGGGAAUAUUGGACAAUGGGCGCAAGACUGAUCCAGCCAUGCCGCGUGAGUGAUGAAGGCCUUAGGGUUGUAAAGCUCUUUUAUCCGGGACGAUAAUGACGGUACCGGAGGAAUAAGCCCCGGCUAACUUCGUG
Molecule: ribosomal RNA, 433 nt
Filed under: uncultured bacterium
Lineage: Bacteria
Description: partial 16S ribosomal RNA
Rfam family: Bacterial small subunit ribosomal RNA
Source: RNAcentral